CACAGUGAAGUGAAAGUUUUCUCCAGCAUUUUGUCGCGAAUCAAAUUUUCGUCUUUAAUGUACACUGAAAUCAAAUCUCCAUUAUAUUUUAUGUGCAGAAACCAGAUAGAUGUUGAAUUUGUGCCUCAAAUUUGGUUUUAUGUGCCGCAUAUAAAUUUUAGUUGGUAACAAUAAAAUACAAUGUCAGUGCACAUAAUCUUCACUUGCGUUCUAAUGCAUUAUAAAGGCCAGAUUGUUACAACCUGUUCAUGUUUCAAAUCGAAUUCUAUAAUACUCGCAGAGCAACGGGAAGAAAACAUGUCAAUUUUCGCAUCAUCCUGCUAACACGAUUUGUGGUUUUGAAGUUAAUUGUUCUUUUGUUUAAAAAUAUGAUUUUAUUCUCAAAAGUUCUAUUGGAACGACUGAAUCGACGGAUUAUGGAGUUUUGUUUGACUAGACGAGAAUCUGACUGUACCGAAUUCAAAUUCUGCGACGGUGGACGACAUGGACUGCAGUAAAAACUGUGCCACGCUUCUAGAACGUUUAAGGAUUCGCCUAUUCCGAAUAGAUACCAGCGCAAACUUCCACAUGCUCUAGCUCUACCCGUACUCCGGCAUGAAUACUUUCUCAUCAACCCUACCGUGAGCAGCGUCACCAUAACCAAGGCUACAAACUUUCUGCCGAAUAUCCACUAAAGUCCACCAAAAUGAUUUCAUUGAAGUGAAAAUAAACAUGAGAUUGAGUUCAAUUAACCGUAAA
Molecule: long non-coding RNA, 738 nt
Organism: Aedes aegypti (yellow fever mosquito)
Lineage: Eukaryota; Metazoa; Arthropoda; Insecta; Diptera; Culicidae
Exons: 2
Source: RefSeq, a predicted model, not a curated record